UACGUAGGGUGCGAGCGUUGUCCGGAAUUAUUGGGCGUAAAGAGCUCGUAGGCGGUGUGUCACGUCGUUCGUGAAAACCUGCAGCUUAACUGUGGGCGUGCGGUCGAUACGGGCAUCACUGGAGUUCGGCAGGGGAGACUGGAAUUCCUGGUGUAGCGGUGAAAUGCGCAGAUAUCAGGAGGAACACCGGUGGCGAAGGCGGCAUCCUGGACCAACACUGACGCUGAUGCGCGAAAGCUAGGGGAGCAAACGGG
Molecule: ribosomal RNA, 254 nt
Filed under: uncultured bacterium
Lineage: Bacteria
Description: partial 16S ribosomal RNA
Rfam family: Bacterial small subunit ribosomal RNA
Source: RNAcentral